GACGAACGCUGGCGGCGUGCUUAACACAUGCAAGUCGAACGGAAAGGCCCUGCUUUUGUGGGGUGCUCGAGUGGCGAACGGGUGAGUAACACGUGAGUAACCUGCCCUUGACUUUGGGAUAACUUCAGGAAACUGGGGCUAAUACCGGAUAGGAGCUCCUGCUGCAUGGUGGGGGUUGGAAAGUUUCGGCGGUUGGGGAUGGACUCGCGGCUUAUCAGCUUGUUGGUGGGGUAGUGGCUUACCAAGGCUUUGACGGGUAGCCGGCCUGGGCGGGUGACCGGCCACAUCAGGACUGGGCUGCGGCCCAGCCUCGUACGGGAGGCAGCGGUGGAGAAUAUUGCACAGUGGGCGGAAGCCUGGUGCGACAACGCCGCGUGCGGGAUGACGGCCUUCGGGUUGUGAUCCGCUUUCGCCUGUGACGAGGCGUGAGUGACGGUAAUGGGUGAAGAAGCACCGGCUAACUACGUG
This 468-nucleotide ribosomal RNA is filed under the name uncultured bacterium. Its description in RNAcentral is "partial 16S ribosomal RNA". It matches the Rfam family "Bacterial small subunit ribosomal RNA", at positions 28 to 507 of the family's 1533-position model. The record is from RNAcentral.